Long non-coding RNA from Vespula vulgaris, 1142 nucleotides. RefSeq lists it as uncharacterized. The transcript is spliced from 8 exons. Lineage: Eukaryota; Metazoa; Arthropoda; Insecta; Hymenoptera; Vespidae. The record is from RefSeq and is a predicted model, not a curated record.
GAGUAGUGGGGGUAUUCUCCCACUCGUGACGACAAUAUAAGCGGACCGACAGUUACUAGUUCAGUCUUGCUUUGAAUUUGGACGAGUACGCAUCGCAGGUCUCACAGUAAACAUUCUCCGCAAAAUGAAAUAGAGUAGUGGGGGUAUUCUCCCACUCGUGACGACAAUAUAAGCGGACCGACAGUUACUGGUUCAGUCUUGCUUUGAAUUUCGACGAGUACGCAUCGCAGUUCUCUCAGUAAACAUUCUCCGCAAAUAAUAGAGAAGAGAAUGAAAUAGAGUAGUGGGGGUAUUCUCCCACUCGUGACGACAAUAUAAGCGGACCGACAGUUACUGGUUCAGUCUUGCUUUGAAUUUCGAUGAGUACGCAUCGCAGGUCUCGCAGUAAACAUUCUCCGCAAGUAAUAGAGAAGAGAAUGAAAUAGAGUAGUGGGGGUAUUCUCCCACUCGUGACGACAAUAUAAGCGGACCGACAGUUACUGGUUCAGUCUUGCUUUGAAUUUCGACGAGUACGCAUCGCAGUUCUCUCAGUAAACAUUCUCCGCAAAUAAUAGAGAAGAGAAUGAAAUAGAGUAGUGGGGGUAUUCUCCCACUCGUGACGACAAUAUAAGCGGACCGACAGUUACUGGUUCAGUCUUGCUUUGAAUUUCGACGAGUACGCAUCGCAGUUCUCUCAGUAAACAUUCUCCGCAAAUAAUAGAGAAGAGAAUGAAAUAGAGUAGUGGGGGUAUUCUCCCACUCGUGACGACAAUAUAAGCGGACCGACAGUUACUGGUUCAGUCUUGCUUUGAAUUUCGAUGAGUACGCAUCGCAGGUCUCGCAGUAAACAUUCUCCGCAAGUAAUAGAGAAGAGAAUGAAAUAGAGUAGUGGGGGUAUUCUCCCACUCGUGACGACAAUAUAAGCGGACCGACAGUUACUGGUUCAGUCUUGCUUUGAAUUUCGACGAGUACGCAUCGCAGUUCUCUCAGUAAACAUUCUCCGCAAGUAAUAGCGAAGAGAUUCAAAUUGGGAGUAGGGAUACUUGGCCUCGUGAGACGACAACAAAGUUGGAGCUUUGACUGACUGUUACAAUUACUAGUUCAGUUGUGUUUUGGACUUUGACGAGAGAACUUAGAAAUUUUCGCUGGAUGCCGUUUCUACA